This 74-nucleotide transfer RNA is filed under the name Candidatus Zixiibacteriota bacterium. Its description in RNAcentral is "candidate division Zixibacteria bacterium tRNA-His". It matches the Rfam family "tRNA". Rfam says of the family: Transfer RNA (tRNA) molecules are approximately 80 nucleotides in length. Their secondary structure includes four short double-helical elements and three loops (D, anti-codon, and T loops). The record is from RNAcentral. Lineage: Bacteria; Pseudomonadati; Candidatus Zixiibacteriota.
GCUGGGGUAGUUCAGUUGGUUAGAACGCUGGAUUGUGGAUCCAGAGGUCGGGAGUUCGAGUCUCCCCCCCAGUA